RNAcentral lists this long non-coding RNA (18281 nucleotides) under Gallus gallus (chicken). RNAcentral's name for it is "lncRNA (ENSGALG00010007205.1)". The record is from RNAcentral. Lineage: Eukaryota; Metazoa; Chordata; Aves; Galliformes; Phasianidae.
UUUUUAAAUUCGUUUUUUUUUUUUAGUGAGAGUCAGCUGGGGUUAACAACAAAGUAACUGCAAUUUCUUUUCAAUCAUUAACAAUUAUUAUUACUUAUUAUUUUCCGUUCUAAUUUGGAUCACCUUACAUGAACUGUAGAGCUUUCAAAAGCCAUGAAUGAUACCUAAUGAAGAAAUAACAGUUUAGCAGCAGGCGUUUGAAGUUAAGGGGCUUGCUGAGGAUAGCAUUGCAAGUGGUAGAUCUGAAAGUGAAACUCAGAUCCUUGGAUACCCAAUACUCUGUUUCAAUCUGUCCAAAACUGAGGUGCUAUUUUCAAGAACAGAUAUUAUAGCCCCGUUCAGUGGUUGUUUUAUUUCAUCAAAACAUUUUUUAAAUGCAGUUUUUACUGCAUUUUUAUCAUGAUUCUCACAUUGGGUAGAGUUCAGUAGCCUUGGCCAUGUCAAAAUCACAUACUAGUUCAAGUUGACUGUCCAAGAUUCCUUUCUAUUCAGUGAAAAGGAAAGGUUGUUUUCAGGAAGUGGCUCCUCGUAGACCCUCUGCUAUUGUACUGGCUUGAUCUGUGGUGUGCCUUUCCCUCCUGAAUGCAAUACUGCAGACCAAAGUCAUAAGGUUACUUGAGGGUACUCCUGUCACAAUAAGAAUUUGUCACAGACUUCAUUUCAGAUAUUUCUAAUAAUCUGUAUUCUCUACAGAGGCAGGUUACUGUUCAGCAUUUAGGAAGAAAGAUACUAGAUUAUAAACAAUUCAAAAUAUUGUAAGAAAGAAACAUCCUGAGCUGCCUUUGAGUAAUGCUUAAAAUUAAUUUCACUAUGUUGAGGAUAAGAGGCUGCACAGCAAAAAUGAAUCACUCCAAAGGAGGACUAAGGGAAGUACCCAAUGAUUAAGUGGGAAAAAAAUUGUCAUAGUGUUAAUGACAUUCCAGCUAGGAAAGUAUUCCAGCUAGAAAAGUCUUCCAGAUGUGUGCAGCAUGGUUGGCUGCAGUUGUAUACUAGACAACACUGUGGAGCAAGAUAAAUGCACAGCAGAUUAUGGUUAUGUGAGGAUUUUGCUUGGAGAGGCAUUCUGAUUACAGGAAAACGCUCUGAAGGCAUACAAGGGCAUAUAUUUACCUGCAGUAUGUCAGCCUUCCCAUCAAUGACACCCAGUUAACUGCUCUUUCAUAGAAUCAUAGAAAAGCUUGAGUUGGAAGGGACCUUAAAACCCACCCAGUCCCUUGAGUGCCUCCAAGGAUGGGGCAUCCACAGCUCCUCUGGGCUGCCUGUGCCUGUGCCUUACCACCUUCUGAGUAAAAAUGUUUCCCUAACAUUUAUCCUAAAUCUCCUCUUACUUUACCAUUAUCUUUUAAAAAGGUCUAUUCUCCAUAUAAUACCACAGCCUUUUAAUGAUGUUUGCAACAUCAAAUUUAUUAUUUAAACUUAUAUGUUUCUUUAAGUUUUAAUGUAAGCUUAGGUGGUUUGGAAUCUUAAGAAUUAAUCUUAAAGAAAAGCUCUUAAGUGGCAGAUCAGUAUCAUGUUUCCUACCUUGCUUUAAAGCUUUGAAAAUUGGACCUUGACAGAUCCAUGACUUACACAAAUACGUACAUCUAAUCUCCUUUGAAACCACUGGACAUGAGGCAUUUUAGUAUCUUUUGAGGACCUGUAGUAUAACACUUGCUACCUGCUUGCUGAAUGCAAACCAACCUUUUUCUUGUAAUUUUCUGUCUCAAUAUGCAGUUAAUACAACUGCUUUCACAGUUUGUUAUGCCAAAGUCAGCGAUCCCUUCACUUCCUAUUAGAAGUUUGCAGAGAAGACAUUUGCCUAUGGGCCCAGGGAUGGCAUUUGUUCUAGUGAGAAUGUUUGUUGCUUUCUAGACAGACAGAAGUAAUAGCACCUGAUACUGGGACUUGAUGAAGCAGAUCUGUGAAGCGGAAAAGUAUCAAAGAGGGGAAGAAUGUUGUGACAAAUUUAGGCAAUCUACAAUUCCAUGUAAAAUAGCACAGUGCUGGAAGUUAGCCUGCAUGCUAUACCCAGCUGGAUGGCAUCUGUAGGAAUCAUCUCAUUUCAUAAUAAAUCUGAAAACUUGUUUCUUUUUAACUCGUAUAACUAAAUUACAUUAUUUCUGAACAAAAUAUUUACCCUUGAGGUCAGCUGCUUUGAAAUUACAUUGGCUUAGAGAAUUCUCAUUUAAUUGCAACUUUCACAUACAAACACAGUAAAGUCUGACGACUUUGCUAGUGCUACCCGUGCAUGACUUAAUUUUAGUUACUACUAAAACAGCCUUCCUCAGCCUUAUGAUGAAAAACCUGUAUUUGACUAUGCAAGCAGGUAUCAGCUGACUAGAAUGUGUAUUCAAGGCAGGUGGAAGUGUAACUUCUAAUCCUGGUGGAGCUAUCUUAUGUUGGUUGGGGCAAGGGUAAUCCCCCAAGAUGCCUCAGGAGAGAUCUGUCUUUUAAAAAAUAUUUCAGUGAUUGCAGGCCUCAUUGCAUCUCCCACAGAGCACUUCAGGAUGAUUACAGCCAUCGUAGUCUGAGCACAGGUUUGUCUUCCUCCACUUUGCUGUCUCUCCCCCUCCUUUUGUUCCUUCACAAUGGCUUAGAAGCUUUCUGAAUAUAAGAGAGCAGCUCCAGUUUCAUGGAGUGCCGUGAAAUAACAAAGAAACUCUGUAUCUAAUUUAGCCUAAUAUGAUUCACGCUUCUUUGUUUAGAAAUAGCUGUAAGUGAGCUCUGCAGUUUGGAGUUCUGUUCUGGGAGGUUUUACCUUGUAACCUUAGCCACACCUCCUUCUCCUUUUUACACAAGCAUGUUAUUGCACUUCCUUGGAUUAUUCCAAAACUAUAUACAAAAAAAUUGUGACUCAAGCACUUGAAAAUACAUUGUUUUGUUAUUAUCACUUACAUACUAAAGCUGUGAUUCGUGAUUAUCAUCUUCUUAAGUAGUACUAACUCGUAAUAGAAAAGCUGUUUUCUGGUACUUACUGUUUAUAGCUCCUUUUUGUGCUUUAAGAGUGUACUCCGAAGUAUACAGCAUUUCUUUUCUGCUUUGUGAUUCUUAGACCAUACAAAUUGUUCACUGUCAUUUCUUCUGACGUUUCCUGAGACAACAGAGACUUGACAGUGCAUCAUGUGUCUUUAUGGCGUCAGCUACCUUCAAAUCAUUAACUAAUUAUUGGAAGUAAACAUUUACUGUAUAAUGGUUGAACAUUUCUCAGUUCUAUCUGUCUAUCAGCAUAAUUACAAUUGAUAUAAACUUUAUUUGUCAAAAAUGUCAAAUUGUGGUACAUUUAAACAAUUAUAACUUUUACCUUUAAUACCAAUUUAAGUGCUUUCCAAAAAAAAUCCAGAUCCUUUAAUCUAUCAUUGAAAUGGUCUUUAUUCUCAUUCUUAAUUGAUUAUUUAAGGUAAUAUUUUACAAUAUUCUAGAGCAGUGUGAUAUCUCCAUUUGAAUCAAGUGUGAGUUCAUUGUGUCUAAGUGGUGGCAGUGAGUCACCAAUGGUUGCUCAUGUCUCUUUGUUUGCCCUCAGAUAAUUUUUUUCCCCUCUCUGGGAGCUUCUUUUCAAAACACUGUUUCUUUCCGGGAAUGUCUUCUACUGUGUGUUGAAAGUCACAUUUCAUGGUACAACUAUAUGGGAUUUUAAGGUAUCUUUGGUACUACUGCAAAAUGGUGCUACCAUAAGUCCCAAAGGCACUUAUGCUCUCUUCAUCUCCAUAGUGAAACUGGAGUUCAGCAGGACUUUAGUGUAGACUCAGGUUCAUAACUAAGUUUCUCUCACAUCCCUUUUUGCUCCAGGGAGAGAUGGAGCAUAUUGCCAGGGCAGGUAUAACUGUAACACACAGGCAAGUCUUUGGAGAAAAGAUUAAGAGGCUGUGACUGCAUGAGCAGUCAUACAGAAGCCCUUGCUCCAGAGUCAAGUAGCAGGUGUUCUAAACACUCAGAUUUAGAAGCUAAUGGAGUAAAAGAAGCAGCUUUUCCAAGCAAUGCUGAUUACUAAUAGCUCUCCGGUGGGGGAUGAAGCCCAAACAGCUCACACAACACACGCUCUUUCCUUGGAUUGCACAGCCCAAAGGCAGGGCAGUUUUCUCAUUUUAGAAAAUUGUGAAGUUGUGAGGUUUUCAGCCUUCUCCUAAAGAAAGGAAUCAUGUGUCCCAUACAAUGACAAACGGUUAAUUAAUACCAGAAGAGACCUGCUCUGGGGAUCUGACAACAUUCCCAUACUUUUGAUUUCACACAAACCCCAAAUUUUUUGUUACAUAGGAGAAAUAAAAUUCCAAAUCACAAAUGAAAAAGAGAAACUUCAGUACAGGAAUGCCCACGCAGUUUGUUUUGACCAUGUAAAUACUUUUCCUCUAGUUUUAUUAAAUUGGAAGAACUAUUGAUUUUUUUCUCUCACAAGAUGUUUUAAGCUUUAUGUACUGUGUUUUGCAAACUGUCUGGACAUUCUUUUUUUGUUGUUGUUGUUUAUUUGUGUGUUCUGUUAAUCUAGAUUUCUCUUCCUUGGAAAUCUUUCAUUACUGAUCUCAUUUUUCUUAUCCACACUGUUCUUUCUAGCUCACUGCUUCUUCUUUCUGCUCACUUUCCUCUUCUCAGUCAAUGCAUCUCCACACUAAAUAUUUCUGUAAAUAUUUUGAAAUCAUGAUGAUGUUUUGGUGUGGCUUAUGUAUAUGAAAAGUUUAAUAUAUUUGCUUUAGAAAAAGAGUCUAAGCAUAAAAAAUUACAGUUGUAAUUUUACAAAGCAUCUCUCUCAGAACAAUUUUUUCUUGACCAAUCUGAGCCUUUUCAGAUUGUCAUUUAACAGAAAACUAUGACAGCCUAUGUGUCCACACUGGCAUAAGGCAGCAUUCUGACUCACUGCCCAUAAAGUUUCAUAUGCAGUAUAAUCACACAUGAAUAUAUUAAUUAUACUGUUCCCCCGAGUGCUGUUGUUAUUUUAAUUUACUUGCAGUGCUGAAUUCAGAGCAAACUAAAAAAUAAUGAGGUCAGAGGAACUAAUAGCCAAGUUAUUUUUGAUGUGUGCUGUCAAACUGUUCUUCUUUCAGGUUUUCCUAAUAGACUUUUCCUCUGAAGUAUCUAGUUUCUGUACUACAAUCAUGUGUCAACAUUUUUUUUUUAGAAAAUAUGUAUUAGUAAAAGGAUCACAAAAUUCAAAAUUUUUUUGUAGUAAAGCUGGAUCAGUCAGAAAAAUGUCUGGAGGAACUGUAGUUGCUUUCAGGUUAAUUUUCCAAAUUUAUUCUCCUAUGGAAAUAAACAUUUGUUUUAUAAUAGUCUUUAUAGUUUGUCUUAUAAAAGGUCUUUAAUGUCCUUUCCAACCCCAAAUCUUCUGUGACUCUUUCAUUAUCUCCUAUAGCAGGCUAUACAUUUAAUCCAUUAUAGAAUUUUCUUAAUAACCCACAGCUUUACACAAUCUUAAAUCUCAUACCUGAUUUACAGACUUCUAUCUUUGACAACAGAAGGUGCAACAAGAGUUACUAUAUUCAGAAAAAGGUUGUGAUUUUUGCAAGGAGUGAAUACCAUGUUCUGAGGAGUAGCACAGAUGUGAUCUAUAUAUGUUGACUCUUUGAAGUAGAAGCAUUCAAUGAUUUAUUACCAAAAAAGAUGAAUACUCAGAAGUUGGGGAAGGUACACUCCUCCUGAGGAAAAGAUAUUGUGUUAGCUAAUAAUAUAGCUUCACUUACCCAGCACUGUAUUACGGGACCUCUCGACCUCUUCUCCUUCAUGUUCCAGACUUGCCUCCAUCUCCUAAUUAUGCAGGAGGGAGAGGCCAUCUUUCUUUGUAGAAUAAAAAAGAUGAAUUGCAGAUUAGUAUAAAACCAUUUCUCUUUGCCCCGUUUCUUCACUUUCCUUGUCUUUAAACUGCAAGCAGUGCCCCAAAUAUUUAAACAUAUUUAUCUAAGUAAAACUGUUUCAAAGUACUUAGCAUCUGAGGAGCCACUUAUCUCAUGCUGUACAUUCAUCAAACAUAGCAGGUUACCAGCUACCCUUUAAUAACACAAAUCUAUCAAAUGGACAUCACCACAGGCACAUGGAACUGAAUGGAGUAAAAAAGACUUUUCUGAGGGUCAGAGACUUCUUUGCAAGUUUUUAAACUAAUAAGUCACUCUCUCAAUUAAAAACUGUUAAACACAUCCACAGUAAGUUGAGAUGACUGCAACAUUUUUAACAAGUUUGUGAUUUUUGUGGUGGAGGUGACAGAAUCCAUCACAUGCACCUCUUCCUACAUAGGACUUACCUGCAGACUUCCUUCACAUUGUCAGAACAUUAUUGUAUAACCCUGGCGUAAUAUUUUCUAGCUGUUUUUCUCUGUAUAGCCUCUCCCACCACGUUUAUCACCUCCGUAUUUGAGUACCAUUCAUCAGUGCAUUAAGCAGCUUAAGUACCAUCUGUCAUUUGUUUGUCUUCUGAUGCUCCCUGUAGGGAGUGUAAUGUGCUCAAAAAGGUGCUUUAUUUUGAUACAAUUUUUGUUGGGGUAGAUUUUUACAUGUACAUAAAAACAGAAGGAUAUCUGCCUUGACCUUAGAGAAGGUGAAGAUUUCAGUGAUGUUCUAGGUUCCUUGUUCAUGGGAGCAUUUGCUCUAUGAACUGGAUCCUUACUCCUUAGGAAAGUUUUGCUUUUCUAAGAGGACCCCUGCGCUUCCAGAACGUACUACUAGCCCUUUCCAAAUCUAAGUAGCUGUUUUAAUUAUCCUGUGUUCACACCAUAAAUCACUUCAAUGAAAAGACUCGUGGAUUUGAUUAAGGUGAUUUUCAGAUCAUCCAGCAAGGUGAGGCAGAAAAUGAUAGCAUUGCAGUAUUCCAGUAGCUUCCGUUACUGAAGAGACAGAUAAUUCUUAAUCGUGUACUUUCUGUCUCAGAUGGGUACUACAGUUGAGUUCACCAAUCAGUCAGGAUGAUUUUUCACACUGUCUCAACAACGAUGAUAUUAUCUUUCUCUGCAGGCUCUCACCCAGGCCUUUCUGAGAAAAAAAUCCAUAUGCCACUUUAUUUCCUUCUCAGAAACAUUCUGAACUUUCAAAAAGUUCUCAGGUCUUUCCUAACUUGCUGUUGGCCAUCUUUAAUUUCUGAAAUGCUUUCAUUAAUCACUUCAUUUUGGCUUAAGAGGAGAAUUUCAGAAAUUCAGCAAUUUAGAAGAAAUGGAUGGGAAAGGUAGGCAGCUCUCAGAUACAGUCCUGUUUGUGAAACUUAGUGUGUGUUUCUAUAUAAGCUGUGUUUUGUUUCUCUGUACUUCAUGUUUUUGUUGCUUGUUUGUAGCAUAGACAGAUAAACAGACAGCUGAAGUCAUUAGUCCCCAGAUGCUGUGUUUAUUAUCAAGAAAUUCUAAGAACUGCAAACACCAACUAGUGCAUGACCUUACACAAGUUCAUUGUUAAAGCAUGUUUUUGUGGCAAAACUGAGUGUAGUACUGCUUCCUGUAGUAGCCUAACACUAAAGCACCUGCUAUAACGAAUAGCUCUGAAGAGGUACAAUUGAUUUCGAUGUGAAGAAAUAAUGGGUGAAUGAAUUUGGUAAUAAUAUACAAGUGUUUGUCUAGAGGUGAGGUGAAAUGUGGAGUUGAAAAACCUAUAAAUAAGUUGCAAGACUUGCUGAAAAACUCAAGAUGCGAGAUGGAAGACAAGUGCAGCACAUCUUGUUACUGCUUUCAAAACAACAGAAGAAUCUAGAACUAUUAAUGUGAGGGCAGUUGUUACACCAAAAUUAGUUCUGGCUCUCUCUCUCUGGGCUAUCAGUAAUGCAGCACUAAGUUCUAGCCUUAUCUCUGCUCCGUUGUGCAGGUCUUUCUAUGUAUGUGAUUCUUAAAUCCAUUUAGUGAAACCCGGCAUAACGCUCAGGGUGAUUCUGGCCUCCGUUUUUAAUUAAACUUUUAAAUCAUAGAAUAUAGAUAAGGUCUUUAUUGCAGUCAGUGGUACAUCAUUUCUGUACACAGGCUGAUCCCUGCUUCAUGACAGGGCCAUUGCUAACUUUAAUUAUUUUGGUCAUUUUCUGUCCUUCUAUAAACAAGGACAGAUAGUAAAGUCACAGCAGAGCUAUAAUGUUCAGAAAUCCAACUAUAACCUUUUAUCUCUAUUAGCUCUUGCUCACCUUUUUUACAGUUUAAUUUUACUGUAGCUGAUGUACCAGUGCAGAGCUAUGUGAAAAGGAUUUUUUUUUAAGUGUCCAAUAAAAUCUCCUUUUCUGAUAAUGCAGAGGUUUUCAGGCUCUCAAUGAGAGAUCAUAUCUAAUCAUUUCCUCAGGACACAGUGCCUCACAGGUGCUAAUGGGAAGAGCUGUAGCUCCUAAGGUUUGAUUCUGUAAAGACUCUGGUCCACAAGGCAUAGUCAGUGCCCUGCAGAAAUCAAACAAAGCAGCAGUAGAUGUAAAGGUCCACCAUGAGCAGAGGCUGGAGGGGUGGCACCCAGGGGUCUCUUGCAAAUUAAAUUAUUCUUUGUUCAAAAAUAUGGAAAUGUAACAGUAAUGCUGGGUGGGAUGAUUGAUCAGGGCAAACCUUGCUCUGCUGACAGUACAGAUUGGAACAAAAACUAUGUGGAACAGUACCGAUAGUGAAGAUGUGGGAGCUAUAAAAGAGUGGCAAAAGAAAGUUCAAAUUAUUUUUCUGCCUUUACAAGCAACAGAGGAGAGAGAAUCUUAGGGAUGAGAGGCUGUACAGCUGACUGGUAGGAAAGAGAAGAUUUUGAUUUUCUGGAGCACCAAACUUUAUGAUAGUUUACUGGGAAUUGGUGCCAUUUGUCCAGAACAGGCUGUAUCUUAUGGGAAGGGAGCUAAUUUUCUAAGCUAGAGACUAGCUUGGAUAAGCAGGAAGGUAAGUAGCAACAUGAAACAGGGGUGUAAGAAUAGUCAAGGUAGUAACCACUUAAAUUAAAAAACAGAGUGGUCUGAUAUGGGAAGGAAAGGGAAGGCAAGACAUUUUUCACUACAUUUUUACCCAGGCUAGAAGACUGACUAAUGAGCUCAGGGAACCAGUAGUUCUAAUUGAUGAGAAAAGAUUUGAUUUAACGGGUGGUAUUGAAGCCUAGUGGGAAGAUCUGUAUGAGGAGAAUGUUAAAAUCUCUAUCUGUAACCUGUUCAGGAAAUACAGAGCAAGAAAAUUAAAUUAUAUAUUGAAGAUACAAUUGAUAACAGAACUACAACAUCUUGAAUGCAUAUGAAUCAAUGUACUUACUCAAAUGUUCAGGAGAUUUUAGAUCUGCACCAGAAGAUUGUCUGAGUGCCUAUGUGCAUGCUUACUUCAGUAAUAUAUGGAAGUAACAACUGUACCAUAGAUGACUUCAGCCCAGGAGGAGUAGACAGACAGGGAAAGGCAGUCCUGUAAAAUAUUAGGUUUCCCAAAACUGGAAAAGAAUUUUUUUUUUUUAAUAAAAAGGUAAAGCUCAACAUGUUUGGAAAUACUACUUUAUGAGCUUUUAUGAUGUAGAGACUUCAGCAUUUUGAUAAAGCAUUAUUUUGUGACAUGAUGAAAUAUCCCCAAAGGCACAAUACUUUUUCUCCUGGGAAUUAAAGCAAAGCAGGAAAAAUAAAUAAAAUCUGUGUUUCAGCUGCUCCAAAUGUAAUGCCACUUGUUUUAUCAUGUUGGUCCACAAGGUCAGAGCCAGCUUUUGGUGAUGUGGCGGUAGAUGUUUAAUCUUCCCACCAAUAUACCGUUCUAUGUUGUUGCUGUGUGACAGAUGGCAGCAGAGGGGCAGUCUGGCAAAAUGACAUCUAAUGUGGGAGUGCAGAUAAAGCAAAGGGGUGUAAAUGAAUUCAUCGAUGUGGAAAAAAUGGCACCCCCUGACAUUCAUUGACACUUGCUGAAUGUUCAUGGGGACCAAACAGUGAAUGUGAGUGCAGUGAGGAGUGGGUGUUGUGUUCCAGCAGUGCUAACGGUGACAGUGGACCAUUUCCACUGGUGCAGAUGUUUAUGAGAGUGGUAUGCAGGCUCUUGUCCAUGGCUGGAAAAAAUGCAUAGCUAAUGGUGGUGACCAUUUUGAAAAAUGGUAUUUUGUAGCUGAGAAUUUGCUCAAUCAAAUGGUGUUAUUGUGCUCUUUGUAUCUGUUGUAGUUUCCAUGGAAAUAAAUAGGAGGCCUUACUUUCAGAGGGAAUUAUGUAUAUAUAUUUUUCAGAGGUACUCAUCACUACAUUCUACAUCCUAGUCUGUGCAGAGCAAUACAAUAAAGCUAAAAUCAGGAUCCAAUCCAAUGCUUUCUGUUAGCUAAGGUAUAAAAAAUAAAGCAAACAAACAUGAAACACCCUUUGAGGCUGAAUCAGGUAUAUUCAGAAGACAGCUUGUUUCAGUGCUGGAAAGAACAGUUUUGAAAGUGUUUUUGUUCUAUCUUUAUUUUUCACUCCUCUUGUUAUCAGCUUGUUAAAAUAUUGCCAGGCUAAGAGAGAAAGCUGAGGACAUAUGUUAGCAGAGACGAAGGGGAUAAUAAUUUGACAGGUUUUUUAAAGAGAGAAUUCUUUCAUUUUUAGCAAAACCACUAACUUCAAUUUAAACAGCUCUCCUGUCUGUCUUCAUUUUUACUAUGGUAUCGUGUCUGGCAUUUAAAGAGGGUACAUUUUAAUGCUUAGAGCAAGAGAGAGACUGUAGAAUAGCACACCUGUAAAUCUACUGGCUCCCGUUGGAGGUCAGUAGCAAUCUGGGAUGUUUAGCCUCUUCCAGGAUCAGUCCUGGUAUGAAUUCCAUCAGUUUUUCUGUAACAAUGUUAAUUCCUUCUGUCAGACCUGAACAAAUGGCUUUUCAGUCACAGGACAGCCAAAGUGACAGGAAUAGAUUAAUGUCACACAUAGGAAUGGUUGGAUUUUGCAUAUUGUCACCCAGUGCAGUCAGAGUGAGCAAAUUAAAGAAACGACAUCUCUACCUCCUCUGCUUUCUGCAAAUGCUAACAAAGCUGUGUGGUUUGACUGCUGCUGACAGCUUGGUCCCAAGCUUGAAAAGCAAGAUAAUGUCAAAGGGCUGCUGUCACAAAACUGUUAUAUGCUUAUUGGUCUGGCUAAAGUGUUUCCACUUUAAUGUUUUUCCAUCAUAAAACUAUGGCCAUUUCGACUUCAUCUAUAAUGCUGAGAGGCUAAUUUAUAGUGUUGAGAAGCCAUAAAACACCGAGGAUGUCCUAACACUCUAAUGACUUAUAGAUACUCUCCUUUCAUCUGCAGUUCCCUGAAAUCUGUUUAGCUGGAUGUAUGGUUUGGGAGAGAUGAAGUCUCAGGAUUUCUGAAUUCUGCUUUAAGGCGGAGGUAGAGACAAAAAGAUUAUUCAUCUAGGAAUUUAUUGCUAGAAUAACCAACUGUUGAGCUUGAGACUAGAGUUCAGCCUUGCUCCAAGUAACACACACAUUCUUGUUUUCCCUUAGAGCCUGAAAGCGCAUCUUGAGUGCUUUGUGAAAUAUACCAUUUGUCUUCAAUUUUGCAUCUUCCUGAAACCACAGAUUUCAAAGCACACGGGACCGCUCAGAGUGGACUGAGAAGCAUUAAAAGGGACAGUACAUUGCCCUCUAAUGAUAAGAAAGAUAAGUCAUAUAAGCUCUCUUUCCUGGAGAUGUCAGCCAAAAUGCCGCAUGAUCACCAACAAGCGCAAAAAUGAACAAACUUCAGGGAUCAAGUCUAAGCAAGAGAUUAGAGAAGACAUCCCCCCAGAAUGCUCCCAAACUUCCUACUCUGGUUCCUCCUGAAGAGCAGAAUUCUGCUUGGACAAACUACCUACAGACUGAAAUCCAAGUGUGUUGAUGCCCGGGCUGUCUUUUCCCCAGAAGCAGGAGCAAAAGAGAAGAAACUUUUCUUCACUUUGCAAAACGAUGUCUCUUUUGCACCACUGACUUUUUUCACUCCAUAAAUGAUUUCCAGGUACCUGUCUGGAAGAGAAGAAGAAAUACAUACCCCAGGAGGCUUUGCAUUCAGAGAAGAGAUAUAACCCCUGGCAAGGUCACCUGAUGUCCUUUUCUUCUUUUGGCUCUCCUCCCUGCUGCUUGACCCAACUGCACAUCUCACCUCAGUGUUACAGUGAGGCUUUCAGCUCUUGGACACUCCUUCUCUCAUUAUAUUUGAUUGAUUAGCUUCAAUUCUUAUUAUAUUGUAUUAUAAUGUAUUAUCUUGCAUUCUGAUACUAUAUUUAGUAAAUUAGUUUCUUUCUUCUCAGAUUGUUGCUCCUGGUCUUAAUUGUUCAGGGUCCCCUGUUUCCUUUUUUUGGAGGUCUGGAUCUGUGGAUCCCUCCACCCUGCCAGUCAUGGAACUGGGCUGAACCAGAUCGUUACUGAUCAAUCUCUAAAAAUGAAUGAAAUUUGAGGUCUGAGAAAAGAUUUUUCAUGCCACCCAAAUUGUCACCUGGUUACUUCGAUGUUGGGACAAUGGGGUCAACAGUGUGUGGCAAGAACAUAGAGAAGGUUGCCAACUGGGUGGCAUUGCUAGGGACUCAGCCAUUGGUAUUAGUACAUGCUAGAACCAGGCCUCUUCACCCUCUGAAAGAGGAUGUUGUUAGCUGUGAAAGAAAGAUACCCCUUCAAAGACGAUCUGAUGCCUGAGGGGAAAAAAAAAAAAAAAAAAAGGACUGAUAGGGAAAAAGACAUCUGUUACUUGAGAGACUAUGCUGUGGUGGAAAUGUUACGUAGCCCCAUUUUCAUUCCUGAUGAGCCAGACCAAGAGCAUGAUCCUGGGAGAGUCAGGUGUACACAAAGUAUGUGGCAUAUAUUCACAAAAACUGCACCAGAAAGGUAUGCCAGUUCGUGUGCAGCAAUGUAUGGCAGAGGGGAAAGAGGACCCCCUUAUAAACAAACUGAUUAAUAAACUCCAAGACUUUGAGUUCCAUUUCACCCCUCUAUGAGCUUGUGUUUCCGCUAUUUCAAAAGUAGCUGAAAAACUGGACAGAAUGGAAAUAUGAUAGAUGAACUGUCUACUGUGCUUAAUGCUGAAGGAUGCGUGGUGGUAUCAGAUACAUCUGAUGGGGACAAGGAUUCCCAAAACAGCCUAUUGGGCAGGCUGAUCAAAUUGGUUUCCUCCCAGCCUGGAUCAUCCAAUGUCUCAGCUAUCAAAAGAAAACAUCUUCCUGCACAUUCAAGUGACAACAGUAAGACUGUAAAACUGUUGCGUUUUGCCGUGUGGCAUUACCUACAUGACCAUGGAGAAGAUAUGAAGAAGUGGCAUAAAAAACCCCCUCCUGCACUUCAAGCUUGGGUAAAAGAAUUACAAGACAGAUCAACCGCUAAGGUGAACCUCUCCAAAGAGAUGAUUGCUUCAGUUGCUGUGGGACACAGCAAUAGCCAUAAGAACAACAGAGAUAACAAAUAGAGGGGGCCCUGCCCCCAGCCGGGGGUGGAAGGGAUAAUAGAGUGCAUUGGACUGUGUGGAUUAGAUGGCCUGGCAUGUCAGAACUACAGAAAUAUAAGGCCCUGGUGGACACUGGUGCACAGUGCACUCUAAUGCCCUUGAGUCACCGAAGGAAAGAAUCAAUUUAUAUUCAUGGGGUGACUGGGGGUUCCCAACAAUUGACUAUGUUGGAGGCUGAAAUAAGCCUCAGUGGUAAAGACUGGCACUCUUUCUCUCAUUAUAUUUGAUUGGUUAGCUUCCAUUCUAAUUAUAUUGUAUUAUAGUGUGUUAUCUUGCAUUCUGAUACUAUUAUUUAGUAAAUUAGUUUGUUUCUCCUCAGAUCAUAGCUGCUGUUCUUAAUUAUUUGGGGUCCCCUGUUUCCCCUUUCCAGAGGCACAGAUAUGCAGAUCCCUCUGCCCCACCACUCAUGGAACUGGGCUGAACCUGCCCAUAAACCAUUGACAAAGACUGACUAAAUUUUUGCCAUAGCUCAUGCAUUAUUUCUCCUGAAGUCAGUUACUUAACUCUUGGAUUUUAGGUUAUGUUCUAACCCUCCUUCCUCUGAACGCUUUAUUUAACCAUUCACAGAUGUACUGUACAUCUCUUAACCACUUCUUUUUAGUGUUGUGUGACAGUGCCCCACAACACAGCUUCUUUUGUAUUAUAAGGUAACUUACAUGUCCAUAUUUUAUAUAAAAGCAACAACACAGUAGAGAGAUCUGUAAAACAAGAAGACUUAUUUGUUCCCAGUUCACUUCUUUUUUUCAUGUUUACUUAUUAAUAUGCAGUCAUGCAUGGAAACACUCUUGUUACAUUCAAUUUCAUUGGUAUUCAGCUCUUUCAAAAAAGAGUUAUUUCAGUCUCUGGGAAAACAAACAAAAAACACCACCAACAAAAACUAGCAAAGCAAACAACCACCACCACCACCACACACACACACGCACCAAACACAAAACAAAUGAAUAAAAAAAAUAGCCUGGGCUGUAAAGCUGAGUUCCCAGCUCCUGUUUGUGCAAAUAUAAAAGUACAUAAUGAAUAUAUCUGGACACCAGUGUGGGAAGAAACUCAGCUGGAAGCUCUUUGACCUUGUAGAGGAAAAGCCAACAGAUGAAGCUGUCAAUUUGGAUAAAAUUGAAGUAAAAGUAAGGUGCACAUGUUAACAGUGGUGAUAAUUAACUACUGGACUACCUUACCAAUACAUGCGGUAGCAUCUCCUUUACUUGGUCUCUAUGAAGUUGUUAUUAUAUUGAGCAUGUGUCUGUCAAAAGAGACGGAAACACAUGAAAGACAGAUCCAUCAAGAACCAUUAAUUGUGAGCGAGCAUGUACAGUUUCCAUCACAGACCAUCUUUAAAUUGCCAAAUGUGAGAAAUAAACAGAAUAUCCUGUAAGAAGUAUUCCUCAGAACUCGCUCUCUUUCCACAGGUAUUUGUUACUCGCAACCUUAGGAGAUGUUCUGUGAUGCAUAUAAAGGUCCUUACAUUCUUAAAGAGAAUACAGAGGAAAUGAGGAAAAGGAAAUUCUAUAGCAUUCCUAAGAGAAUCACAGCAGUAAUUACUAUAAUGAUUACUUUUGGACUUGAAACACCAGGGAAAAAAAAAGUCCUUAUGUUGUAUGAAAAUUGCAAGCAGGCACACAAGAAGGAUUUAAUGAUAUAUCGACUCAUUUUGAGAUAUCGGUUUCCACAGAAAAGGCAAGUGCACUGAGAACACAAAACAGCUUUAACAUUGCAGUCAAAUGCAUUCUAAGUAUUGAAAUAUAAUCAUUGCUUUCAUUUUUCAGCCUACCAAAACUUACAGGUUUAUGUUCAUUACACCUUGGCAAAGACAGAUAAAAUAGAGACUAAGUAUUCAACUAUUCUGUGAAGAUGAAAGAGAUUGCCAAGCUGCAACAGCAUACAACUAUCAGGCAUGUUCUGAUAGCUAUUUAUUCUACCUAUACUGACUGCGAUCCAACCACUGAACUAAAAGUGGUCCAGCAGCAAUUCCUGGAAAAUCUGUUUGGACAAACGUUUAAUACAAGGUUCAGUAAGAUGAAAUUCCUACUAUGAGAAAUCAAGUAGAAAAGCUAGUCAGAAUAAAAAAUGACAAAAGAUAAAGUGCAAGAUUUAUCAAAAGUGGUCAAUCUGCACACCUUAAGAGCUAUAAUCCAUACAAGAUAAAUUGAUUCAUAAAUUGAUCUCAACUGAGAAUGCCAAAAAUUAGUAUUAAUAGAUUGAUUUCAAAGGCAAUUAAGAAAAGGUUGGAAGGAGCAUUUACAACUCCUUACCCAUGUCUCUCAUUUUUAAUACUGAAACAUUUUUGAUGCAGUGAAGGCAAGGAUCUAACAAAGAGGUGCUACAUGGAACAUGCAACAAUGGGCUGCACAGCAGGCUCCUUCAUGGAUAUUAACAUAAGGAAUGUCCUCAUGAAAAAAAAAAAAACAACAAGGGAGACUCAUUGGCUUGUUCUGCUAUAAGCACUGAAGAAUAAAACUUAUCCUUUCCCAGGAGGCAUCAUUCCAUCAAUGUUAUUUAGUCUGUAGGAAUGUUCAUCAUCACUUUGCUGGUAGGAUACAUUCUACUACUUAGAGUCUCAAUUCUGUGUCAUUUUCUGAGGUUUGUCUGAAACAUUUUCACUGUUACUGCAGAUGAAACCUGGAAGAAGGAGUUAGAGGCUGCCUUUUUCUUCAAUUUCUGCCUAGCAGUUCAUGAAUAAAUUACUCACUGACUACAUGUUUAAUUAACCCUUCCACACUUCCUCUGUUCCUUUCUGUUUAGCUCAUUUUUUUCUAGGCUGCAGUGAAUGGGUAUCGCUCUGGGCCAUAUAAAAAUAUUUGGCUGUCCAUUAAUGCCCAAACCACCGAGGCACGUCUUCAGCUUAUUUGUAACACUGGGGAAAGAUCUUUGCUUUUAAAUGAAGCUGACAAAUCAAUGACACAUUCUCAAGGGUACUUUAAAUAUUACUGUUUGAAAGCUAUUAUAUUGCCUCUGGAUUCCACCACUGUUAAUGCAAAAGAACUAGAUGAAUAAAUAGAGCUAAUGAACUAAAGAAACACUUAGUUUAUAAACUUUCCCUUUAGAGACUUAGUUUUGAUUUGGUUGUCCAAAACUUGGGAGGUUGAAAGUCUUAUUUAUUGAUGGUAUUCUCUGCUUAUGUAUAAUAUAUAAUGCAGAGCAGGAAAUCACAUUCAUUUUAAAUACAUCCAGAAAAAUAUACCUGUAAUGUUUCAUUCUUCUGACCAUGGCAAAGAAUGGAAUUUUUUUUUUUCAAACACUGACAAAAUCUGCAUAGUCUUUGAAAACUGUUGACUAAUAUACAACAUACUAAUAUGUGGGAAGAAGAGCCAGAAUGUCUAUGGCAAUCACACAUAUAGUAUACUACUUUUUUUUCCCCAGUGAUAGUGGCUUUUGAAGGUGAGGAAGAUGGUUGAAAGCCAAGACGCUUUUUCACAUGUACAUAGACACACACAGAUCCUCAGCCUUUUCUAGUUCACCCGUGAGGUUCCAUAUUUCCAAGGAAAUACUUCUAAGAGAGCUGUACUUGUUUAUCCUUUCUCUAAUAUUACUGCUGUGAGCUCUUUUUUAAUGCUCACAUUAUCAAAAUGAUGGUAGAGAGAAAUUCUGGCAUAAUUAAAUGGCUUAGAAGAGGCUUUCCCAUUCUUUUUUCGCUUUAUAAUGCUGUUUUUUAUGACUAUUAACUGCAACAGAGAGUAAAAAAACCAGCCUGCAGAAAUCCAGAUCAGACUCAUUCUCUUUCUUCACAGAUGACCAAUGCAGUCAUCACUUUGAAGUUAUGAAAGUGCAAAAUAUAAAACUUGCUUAAAUAUGCUUAUCAGUUUUGAUAAGUUAAUGGCUUUUUCUUAGUAUAAUUGGUCCUUCUGGGAAUGGUAGUUCUCAUAUUUCCUAUUCAUUUAUUCUUGGCAUCUUGGGAACCUCCACUCUUAAUUUCCAGUGAAAUUAACAAUGAUUAGGCUCAGUUGCUGGUUUUAACUGUCCUGUGCAGAAAGUAGCAUCAUUGUUAUGUUAUAGGAGCUAGGAGAUCUGGAUUUAACUUUUAGAUAUGUAACUUGCUUACAUUGUAUCCUCAUUGUACAAAUCUCAUGUGCUUUUACUUGCAUGCCUCUCCAUCACACUUGCCCAGGAGAAACUAGUUCUUGGUUUUGAAUGCAGAGUUUAUCAAGAUUCAUCUAUGUCUUCAAACAAGACCUCUAGUAAUGAUUUCAGUAAGUUCCAGCUGUUAGGUCAUUACAUCCUUUGAAGACAUUUAUCCAAGAAAAGUAUCAAGAGCUGCAUCAAAGCUAUGUCAUGGAAUCAAAAGUGAGUCUGGUCCAUGGCCUAUUUAACAUAUGGUCCCAAAAGCUGUUCUUGAAGAAUGGGCCAUAGUAUUUCACACCAAGAACAAUCCUGUUAAUUAAGACAGAACCUUGAGGAAUAUAGGAGAAAUGGAAAACAUCUUUUCUGCAAGCAGAACUCCAGGCUUGACUAGUCAUGUUAGCUCUAAGAUACAGUAGUGACAGAGAUGUUGUAAGGCAUUUUGAAGCACUGAAACUUUUCAUUUCCCAUUACCUCUAUCCAACCACCACCCCUGUUAUCUUCUGCUUUUCCCACAUCUAUAGACCUCACCUCAUUAUAAAGCUGCUGAAACUGGCAGAGAUCAGAGAUGUCAACCACACUAUAUGUCUCCUUCAGAAAGGCACUGGCAUAUCUUAAACUGCCCAUGCUGCAGCACAGAAGUUAUAUUUGGGAUAACUAGUCCCAGGGAAGUCACUAGGAAUUCUGCUGAAAAAAAAUGUCCUAGGUAUUUUUGAUAAUCCUAUCCUGUAGUAAUGGGAUUUGUUGAUAAUAGAAGAGUAAACAUUAUACCAGUGCUGUAAACUUGAGUAAACUUGAGGGUAAUGAAUCUCUAAUUAAAUAUGGCACUUGUAAAAAGCAGCAUUUUUUUUCUGGUUGAUUUUUUACUUUCUCUUGACUUUUGGAUUUGCUGAUGAAACAAUGUAGAAAUAAAAGAGAAAGUUCUUGAUAAUUUGCCCUGUUAUUUUGUAAUUACACAUUGGGAAACAAAGUGG